CGAGCGAGAAAGGGAGCUUCGGUUCCCAAGUAAAGCGGCGGACGGGUGAGUAACACGUGGGUAAUCUGCCCUCGGGUGGGGAAUAACUCAGGGAAACCUGGGCUAAUUCCGCAUGAUAUUCCCGAUACUCAAGUAUUGGAAAUCAAAGCUGGGGACCCUUCGGGGCCUGGCGCCUGAGGAGGAGCCCGCGGCCAAUUAGCUUGUUGGUGGGGUAAUGGCCCACCAAGGCUUCGAUUGGUAGCCGGCCUGAGAGGGCGGACGGUCACACUGGGACUGAGACACGGCCCAGACUCCUACGGGAGGCAGCAGUGGGGAAUUUUUGUCAAUGGGGGAAACCCUGAACAAGCAACGCCGCGUGGAGGACGAAGACCCUCGGGUUGUAAACUCCUGUCGGAGGGGACGAAAGUGCAGGUGGUUAAUACCCAUCAGUAUUGACGGUACCCUACGAGGAAGCCCCGGCUAACUCCGUGCCAGCAGCCGCGGUAAUACGGGGGGGGCAAGCGUUGUUCGGAAUUACUGGGCGUAAAGGGCGCGUAGGCGGACCAGACAGUCUCUCGUGA
RNAcentral lists this ribosomal RNA (560 nucleotides) under uncultured bacterium. RNAcentral describes it as "bacterial SSU rRNA". It matches the Rfam family "Bacterial small subunit ribosomal RNA", at positions 63 to 597 of the family's 1533-position model. The record is from RNAcentral.